GCAAGAGCGGGGCCUGCAGAGGCUGUUCUCCAGCCAGAGCUGGGCCUGUACAGGCCACCGGGAGGCAGGAGGUGGGCCCGAAGAGCUUGGCUGGAGAAAGUUCGGGGCCUACAAAGGCGGUUGGGAGCUGGGCAGGAGCUGAGCCAAAAAAGCUUGCUUACUUGCUGGGAGGCAGGGCCGGGAGAGGCUGACUUCAGGACGACUUGGGCCUGCAGAGGUUGCCGGGAGGCCCAAGCUGGGCGUGGAGGAGCCCACCGACCGGAGACCAUUUGGGGCCUGGAGACGCCAUCGGAGGGCAGGAGCUGAUCCUGGAGAGGCCACCGUGAGGCCUGACCUGGGCCUGGGGAGCUUGGCUUGAGGAAGCUGUGGGCCGACCAAGGCCGCCAGGAGAUGGGCAGGCACUGAGUCCAAAGAGGUUGUUGGGAGGCCGGAGUCGGGCCUGGAGACGCAGCCAGGAGGAAGGGCUGGGCCCGGAGAGGACGCCGGGAGGCUGUAAGUGGGUCUGGAGAGGCCAACUUGAGGAGGUUCUGGGCCCGGAGAGGGCGCCGGAAGGGAAAAACUGGGCCUGGAAAGGCCGUUGUGAGGAAUGAGCCCCAUGGGCCUGAAGAGGCCACUGGCAGGUGGGAGCUGGG
This 632-nucleotide long non-coding RNA is filed under the name Pan troglodytes (chimpanzee). RNAcentral's name for it is "long non-coding RNA NONPTRT015584". Lineage: Eukaryota; Metazoa; Chordata; Mammalia; Primates; Hominidae. The record is from RNAcentral.